This 1162-nucleotide long non-coding RNA is filed under the name Calidris pugnax (ruff). RNAcentral describes it as "lncRNA (ENSCPUG00000015960.1)". The record is from RNAcentral. Lineage: Eukaryota; Metazoa; Chordata; Aves; Charadriiformes; Scolopacidae.
GGUGGAUGGGGCUGCCUUUGGAGUUUUGCAAAUACUGGAAGAAACGGAGCUGGAAUGUCCUGCAAGGCAGAGCUGGGGGACACGAGUGGCACAGAUUUGCUUAAAUGCCUUCCUCUGGUACAUCUGAGACCUUAUUCUAUCAAUCAAAACGAAGCCAGCACAGACAGCGACGGCUGCCUCCAACAAAAAACAGGAACGGGGCGAAGAACCGGGUGUCCUGUAGGACAAAGCCACGGGGCACAACACACCACCAGCUCCUGGUGUGCAAAAACAAGGAGGAAAAGGGAGAAAAACCCAUUCUUGGACCAGGAGAGCUUCCUGUUUUGGGAACGGCCGUGGAAUUCUACCUAAGUUGCAGGAGAAAGAGGCUUCCUUCGCAGGAUGCUGGCAUCAUCCCACAAAAAGCAGAAAGAAAAUGGGAGAAAAGAAAGAGAGAAAGAGAGAAAGAGAGAAAGAAAGAGAGAAAGAAAGAGAGAAAGAAAGAGAGAAAGAAAGAGAGAAAGAGAGAAAGAAAGAGAGAAAGAGAGAAAGAGAGAAAGAGAGAAAGAAAGAGAGAAAGAAAGAGAGAAAGAAAGAGAGAAAGAAAGAGAGAAAGAGAGAAAGAGAGAAAGAGAGAAAGAGAGAAAGAGAGAAAGAAAGAAAGAAAGAAAGAAAGAAAGAAAGAAAGAAAGAAAGAAAGAAAGAAAGAAAGAAAGAAAGAAAGAAAGAAAGAAAGAAAAUUGAUCCCUCCCUUUCUCCCUCCAUCCAUCUCUCCAUCCAUCCAUGCUUCCAUCCAUCCCUCCAUGCCUCCAUCCAUCUUGAUCUCUGCCCUGAGGUCCCAACAGUCACUCUGUGUUUCAGGGUCUGUCACGAGAUCCUGCCCUGAGAUUUUUUGUUUUAAACAUCCCUCACGCUUGCGAGGUCUGACAUCUCUGGUUUCUAGUGCCUGUCACUUCUGUUCCACCAACCCACCUGAGGGAAUGAACACGAACAACAAAAGACACGAGAGAGGGAGAGGGUUUAAGGUCUCUCUUAGAGCCAGCCUCUUGCUCCCUCCUUGCCUUUCAAAAGUUCACAAAAAAAGGAUGUUUAAACUGCUGAAAUGCUGCAAAUCUCACCUUGCGAUUAGCACUGCUUGCUUUUUAUUUUUAUUUUGCAGAACAAAAGGUUAGAUUGGCCGUUC